UAAUAGAGAUGUAGAUAGAUUAUUGAAGUUACUGGAAGACUUCUAUAAGAAGAGAUAUCCACAUUCAUCACAGUACGAGCUGUAAUACAAUUAUAUGCUGUGCGUUUUCAGAAACAUGAGCCAAAUGGACCCAUCUUAAACUACUGGCCAUAUUGCGCAUUUGUAUUGAAUUUCAUGUAAACAAGCUUUUGAAAUAAAAUUGUCACCUUGUUUUUUGUGCGCGUUUCGGACACUUGUGAAGAAUUUCUGCGUUGUACGAUCGCAUCGACGUGACAUUUGUAUUCAAAUGUGCCGCAAACUUGCACGAUGCAACUUUUGUUUCGCCGAUAAAAUAUUAUUAUAACAUAACAAGUAUACAAUGUACAUACCACAGGUGUGGUUGCAAUGAUAAUUUAUGUAUAUUGGUCAACUGAUUGUUUUUUGGGUAUCUUUAUAUUCUAUCCUACAUGAUAAGACUGUUAUCUAGGUUCCCAGGCAAGUAAUGCUUAUGGCAGCUUCACACUAUUCACUGUUAUACAAACAUAAAACUUAAUUCUUUAUACAAAAGUUAAAAUGAAAUAUUGGUUAAAUAACAGCACGCAAGGUGUUAGGUGACAGCGAAUUUAAUAAAACUUAAAUCCAGACGAACAUUGCUUUAUGUACAUAAUAUUGACAUCAGUUAGUUAAAUUAGUCACGCAAUUGUUUAGCGCCAAUUACUAUGUAUUCUUGAGACUGCAGUUUAUA
Non-coding RNA from Ciona intestinalis (vase tunicate), 724 nucleotides. Lineage: Eukaryota; Metazoa; Chordata; Ascidiacea; Phlebobranchia; Cionidae. The record is from RefSeq and is a predicted model, not a curated record.